RNAcentral lists this ribosomal RNA (500 nucleotides) under uncultured bacterium. RNAcentral's name for it is "partial 16S ribosomal RNA". It matches the Rfam family "Bacterial small subunit ribosomal RNA", at positions 30 to 523 of the family's 1533-position model. The record is from RNAcentral.
AUUGAACGCUGGCGGCAUGCCUUACACAUGCAAGUCGAACGGCAGCACGGGAGCAAUCCUGGUGGCGAGUGGCGAACGGGUGAGUAAAGUAUCGGGACGUGCCCAGUCGAGGGGGAUAACGUAGCGAAAGUUACGCUAAUACCGCAUACGAUCUAUGGAUGAAAGCGGGGGAUCGCAAGACCUCGCGCGAUUGGAGCGGCCGAUAUCAGAUUAGGUAGUUGGUGGGGUAAAGGCUCACCAAGCCGACGAUCUGUAGCUGGUCUGAGAGGACGACCAGCCACACUGGGACUGGGACACGGCCCAGACUCCUACGGGAGGCAGCAGUGGGGAAUUUUGGACAAUGGGCGCAAGCCUGAUCCAGCCAUGCCGCGUGCAGGAUGAAGGCCUUCGGGUUGUAAACUGCUUUUGUACGGAACGAAAAGGUUUGACUUAAUACGUUGGACUCAUGACGGUACCGUAAGAAUAAGCACCGGCUAACUACGUGCCAGCAGCCGCAGUAA